Molecule: ribosomal RNA, 740 nt
Filed under: uncultured bacterium
Lineage: Bacteria
Description: bacterial SSU rRNA
Rfam family: Bacterial small subunit ribosomal RNA
Source: RNAcentral
UUACACAUGCAAGUCGAGCGAUGAAGCCCCUUCGGGAGUGGAUUAGCGGCGGACGGGUGAGUAACACGUGGGUAACCUGCCUCAAAGAGGGGGAUAGCCUCCCGAAAGGGAGAUUAAUACCGCAUAACAAGUAACUUCCGCAUGGAAGUAACUUUAAAGGAGAAAUCCGCUUUGAGAUGGACCCGCGGCGCAUUAGCUAGUUGGUAGGGUAACGGCCUACCAAGGCAACGAUGCGUAGCCGACCUGAGAGGGUGAUCGGCCACAUUGGAACUGAGAGACGGUCCAGACUCCUACGGGAGGCAGCAGUGGGGAAUAUUGCACAAUGGGCGGAAGCCUGAUGCAGCAACGCCGCGUGAGUGAAGAAGGUUUUCGGAUUGUAAAGCUCUGUCUUUGGGGACGAUAAUGACGGUACCCAAGGAGGAAGCCACGGCUAACUACGUGCCAGCAGCCGCGGUAAUACGUAGGUGGCAAGCGUUGUCCGGAAUUACUGGGCGUAAAGAGUGCGUAGGCGGAUAUUUAAGUGAGAUGUGAAAUACCCGGGCUUAACCCGGGCACUGCAUUUCAAACUGGAUAUCUAGAGUGCAGGAGAGGAGAACGGAAUUCCUAGUGUAGCGGUGAAAUGCGUAGAUAUUAGGAAGAACACCAGUGGCGAAAGCGGUUCUCUGGACUGUAACUGACGCUGAGGCACGAAAGCGUGGGUAGCAAACAGGAUUAGAUACCCUGGUAGUCCACGCCGUAAA